This is a long non-coding RNA of Nematostella vectensis (starlet sea anemone), 1248 nucleotides long. RefSeq lists it as uncharacterized. NCBI's taxonomy places the organism in Eukaryota, Metazoa, Cnidaria, Anthozoa, Actiniaria, Edwardsiidae. The transcript has 2 exons. The record is from RefSeq and is a predicted model, not a curated record.
AGGAUUCAAAUAUCCACAAAAAAUCAAGAUUUCAAUUCCCUAAUAAUCAGAAUUCAGAGCCGUAGCAGGCCUCGAAGUCUCGGUACAGAAUCAUCAAGAAAGUUGUGGGGGCAAAGCCUCGCCCCUACUGGUAAUUUCCUUAUAUAUUUUGAAAAUAUUAGGGGGGGGAGGCAAGUGUCCCACCCAUCCCCUGCUACGGCCCUGGAAAUACUCAUUUAUAGUUUGUUGUUUUGAAGAUUUCUGUACGAAAAGAGUGUAUCGAGGCUUAUUCGUACAGACGUAUUUUGUGUUCACCCAUCCCCUGCUACGGCCCUGGUUACGGAAGUCAUUUACAGUUUGUUGUUUGUUUGCAAAGAAAAAAGUCAAACACGCGGGAAGGAGAAGCAAAGGAUCUCAAUCCGGAGGGAGCGAAAACUGUCCUCCUAAAUUUAAUGGCUGCUAUUGGGGCGCUUUAAGGCUGAAUGGGUGAUGUCAAGGCUGAAGGGAUAGGCCUGAAGAUGUCCUCCUCGUCAUCUGCGACAUCACUCUCUGAGCUCGAGUAGGGCUUUCUCCUUCAUCGUUUAAUGCCUCCUUGAGUAGCGCCGGCAUCGUCGAUCUCCAGGGAUACAUAAUGGAUUCUGUGUGUUUCGGCCGAGUGUCCGAGUAUUAUUGAGCCGAUCGGAGAAGCGUGUUGGGGCUGGAUAGUUGCGGAGGCGUGACUUCCCAACGAAGAAACAAUCUGUAUUUCUACGAGGAAAAGAUCUGCUACGGCUUGAUCGCCGUACGUUCCGUCCUGAGACAUGGAAUACACAUGUUGAUCCCAGGGUACUUCCGCAAAUAGCUCCAGAGGUGUGUUUUGUUUUGCUGCCUUUUUUUCCUUUUCUCUUCCUCUGAAGUGAUACUUGUUAUAUCCACCAAAUAUCGUUGCAUCCCCCUUGACACCUACAUGACAUCUGCCAAGUAAGACAACCCUAUGAUGUUUCUAUGAUGAGAUAUGAGUAUUGCCGUUUUAGUGACGCCAUCGAUGACGCCGUCAUGCUGAGUGGACAUAUAGUUGCACCCCCCUUGACACCUACACGACAUCUGCCAAGUUUGGUCUUCUAAUGAUGUUUCUUUGAGUCAAAGUUAUAGGUUAUUACAUUUAUGGCGACGUGUUAUUACAUUUAUGGUUAACGUGGUUUAUAACAUUUAUGGGCGACGUGUUAUUAUAUUUAUUGCUGACUGUUUAUUAGAUUUAUGGGCGAUGUGUUAUUACAUUUAUGGUUGUUA